RNAcentral lists this ribosomal RNA (481 nucleotides) under uncultured bacterium. RNAcentral describes it as "partial 16S ribosomal RNA". It matches the Rfam family "Bacterial small subunit ribosomal RNA", at positions 28 to 507 of the family's 1533-position model. The record is from RNAcentral.
GAUGAACGCUGGCGGCGUGCUUAACACAUGCAAGUCGAACGAAGCACCUUAUUUGAUUUCCUUCGGGACUGAUUAUUUUGUGACUGAGUGGCGGACGGGUGAGUAACGCGUGGGUAACCUGCCUUGUACAGGGGGAUAACAGAUGGAAACGGCUGCUAAUACCGCAUAAGCGCACAGCAUCGCAUGAUGCAGUGUGAAAAACUACGGUGGUAUAAGAUGGACCCGCGUUGGAUUAGCUAGUUGGUGAGGUAACGGCCCACCAAGGCGACGAUCCAUAGCCGAGCAGAGAGGGUGACCGGCAACAUUGGGAGUGAGACACGGCCGGAACUCCUACGGGAGGCAGCAGUGGUGAAUAUUGCAAAAUGGGCGAAGGCCUGAUGCAGCGACGCCGCGUGAGCGAUGUAGUAUUUCGGGAUGUAAAGCGCUAUCAGCAGUGCAGAUAAUGACGGUACCUGACCAAGAAGCACCGGCUAACUACGUG